Long non-coding RNA from Astatotilapia calliptera (eastern happy), 888 nucleotides. NCBI's taxonomy places the organism in Eukaryota, Metazoa, Chordata, Actinopteri, Cichliformes, Cichlidae. The record is from Ensembl.
GUUUUAGUGCUCAUGCCACUAAGGUUGACAACCUACGCCAUCUUCAGUCAUUUCCAUCGUCCUUUCCAAGCAAACUCUCAAACCUGAUAUCUUUCCUGGAUGCAUUUUGAGGAAACAAGAAACCCAAGUCAAUCUAAGUGCAUCUUUGUCUGGACUGUCUUACACACUCCGGUACACUAGAUGGCGAUCUGCUGGUGCAGCAAACAGGAAACACGCAAGCAUUAGACAGAAAAGGCGCGAAACUUGUCUGCGUUUGCGGCUACAGGCACUUGGUUUUCACGCUUUAGGUACCGCCCUUGCUGCCAGUUGGACAGAGGAGACCCAGACAGGGCGCUCAUCCUCCUUAUAGUGUGUUUGGUAAGAAACUGCAGUACCUGUUUGUCACAUUCAACAGGAAGAAUGACGAGCAGAAAUAACACUCCAAGAGACAAUUUUAAGGAAUCAACACACUCCCAGGAUAAGGAAAAUAUUCCACCUCCUCAUCUAAAUACUGCUGCAAAGGACGAAGAGCCUCAUCUGACCCAUUCUUUUGAGUGGAGUUACAGGAAGAACAUCUAUACCCAUACCUGCAAUCAAGCGCAAACUAUUGAGGACUGCCUGAAGAAAAGUCCAAAAUUCAAAGCAGCUGCAGAAAAGCAGAAGGACAAAGAGCUUGUUAUUGUAAGAAGUGCGAAAGCAAUCGCUUCACACUUUCCAUGCAGAGUAAUUAAAAAUGAACGUCUGACUCUGAAGUUUGUGAAAGCUGUGGAGAAGCCAAAGAAACCAGUUAGCGUCUCUGGUUAUCCCUGCAAAAAGAGACAAUCUAACAAGCUUGUGAUAUUUCAUGUCAUAGCACGAGGAGGUAAAAAUGUUGUCAGAAUCCUGAAAAAUCCUGACCUAAGAAAAGAC